ACAUGCUGGACGUCUACGGCUCGCUGCCCGCCUUCCUCAAGCUCUGGAUCGAGCUGCUCAUCAUCCGGCCUUCAUCGCAGUACAUCGUGGCCCUGGUCUUCGCCACCUACCUGCUCAAGCCGCUCUUCCCCACCUGCCCGGUGCCCGAGGAGGCAGCCAAGCUCGUAGCCUGCCACUCCGUGCGCACGGCGGGGCCGACCCCGCCUCUCGCUCCCAGCAUGCCGUGCGACAGCGGCGGCGCGGCGAGCGGAGCCGGGAGGCGGGGAAGCAGUGGCCGUGUGAGCGUGAGGAGCUGCCGCCACCGCCUGUUCCUCGUCGUCCUCCUCCUCGGGGGCCCCGGCGACGUGGGCCGCGCAGGGCCCUGGAAGAGACGUCGCCUCCCCUUCAUCCGCCUCUCUCUCACCGCGCCGCUCCCGCCUCCUCGUCCUGUGCUGCGGGCUCAGGCGGAACCCGAAACGGUCGUCCUCUUCCCCCGCCCGCCGCCGCCUCCUCCUCCUCCUCCUUCUCGGCUUCCUUCUCAGCCCCGGGCCGGAGCGGGGUGUUGGCGGCGGCCGGUUCGGGUGGCGACUCGCGCUUCUCUGGGCGGCGGCGCUUGGCCAUAUCGUGUCGGGGAAGGUAAUGAGCCGCAGAGCCCCGGGGUCUCGGCUGAGCGGCGGCGGCGGCGGCGGCGGCGGCGGCGGCACCAACGGCACCAACUAUUCGCGGAGCUGGAAUGACUGGCAACCCAGAUUGACUUGAUGCACAACAUCACAAAGGCGAUUUUUGAGAACUGAUAGUGCAUCAGCCGACCCAGGUAAUUUAAAAUAUUCUUCAUCCAGAGAUAGAGGUGGUUCUUCCUCUUACGGACUGCAACCUUCAAAUUCAGCUGUGGUGUCUCGGCAAAGGCACGAUGAUACCAGAGUCCACGCUGACAUACAGAAUGACGAAAAGGAGAGAUCAAUGUCUUAUUGUGAUGAGUCUCGACUGUCAAAUCUUCUUCAGAGGAUCACCCGGGAAAACGACCGAGACCGAAGAUUGGCUACUGUAAAGCAGUUGAAAGAAUUUAUUCAGCAACCAGAAAAUAAGCUGGUACUAGUUAAACAAUUGGAUAUCUUGGCUGCUGUACAUGAUGUGCUUAAUGAAAGUAGCAAAUUGCUUCAGGAGUUGAGACAGGAGGGAGCUUGCUGUCUCGGCCUUCUUUGUGCUUCUCUGAGCUAUGAGGCUGAGAAGAUCUUCAAGUGGAUUUUUAGCAAAUUUAGCUCAUCUGCAAAAGAUGAAGUUAAACUCCUCUACUUAUGUGCCACCUACAAAGCACUAGAGACUGUAGGAGAAAAGAAAGCCUUUUCAUCUGUAAUGCAGCUUGUAAUGACCAGCCUGCAGUCAAUUCUUGAAAAUGUGGAUACACCAGAAUUGCUUUGCAAAUGUGUUAAGUGCAUUCUUUUGGUGGCUCGAUGUUACCCUCAUAUUUUCAGCACUAAUUUUAGGGAUACAGUUGGUAUAUUAGUUGGAUGGCAUAGAGAUCAUACUCAGAAACCUUCGCUCACGCAGCAGGUAUCUGGGUGGUUGCAGAGUUUGGAGCCAUUUUGGGUAGCUGAUCUUGCAUUUUCUACGCCUCUACUUGGUCAGUUUCUAGAAGACAUGGAAGCAUAUGCUGAGGACCUCAGCCAUGUGGCCUCUGGGGAAUCAGUGGAUGAAGACGUCCCUCCUCCAUCAGUGUCAUUACCAAAGCUGGCUGCGCUUCUCCGGGUAUUUAGUACUGUGGUGAGGAGCACUGGGGAAAGCCUCAGCCCAAUUCGGGCCCUCCAAUUACUGAGGCAUACGUAACAGAUGUUCUGUACAGAGUAAUGAGAUGUGUGACGGCUGCAAACCAGGUGUUUUUUUCUGAGGCUGUGUUGACAGCUGCUAAUGAGCGUGUUGGUGUUUUGCUCGGCAGCUUGGAUCCUAGCAUGACUAUACAUUGUGACAUGGUCAUUACAUAUGGAUUAGACCAACUGGAGAAUUGCCAGACUUGUGGUACCGAUUAUAUCAUCUCAGUCUUGAAUUUACUCACGCUGAUUGUUGAACAGAUAAAUACGAAACUGCCAUCAUCAUUUGUAGAAAAACUGUUUAUACCAUCAUCUAAACUACUAUUCUUGCGUUAUCAUAAAGAAAAAGAGGUUGUUGCUGUAGCCCGUGCUGUUUAUCAAGCAGUGCUCAGCUUGAAGAAUAUUCCUGUUUUGGAGACUGCCUAUAAGUUAAUAUUGGGAGAAAUGACUUGUGCCCUAAACAACCUCCUGCACAGUCUGCAGCUUCCUGAGUCCUGUUCUGAAAUAAAACAUGAGGCUUUUAAGAAUCAUGUGUUCAAUGUAGACAAUGCAAAAUUUGUAGUUAAAUUUGACCUCAAUUGACUACAAAAUUUGUAGUUAAAUUUGACUACAAUUGGAAAUGCCAAAAACUCACUAAUAGGGGUGAGUCUUUAAUUGUAAUGACUUUGUUUUAUCCACAUUACAUAUUUAUGUAUUUCACUGUUAUGUCAACAUGUCUGCAGAAUCACUGUAUGUAACAAACAGCCAUAUUUAAGACAUGCCUGGAUAAAUAAAAUUGGUAGGAAUGUUUUCUUGCCAUUAUAUUUAA
RNAcentral lists this long non-coding RNA (2592 nucleotides) under Homo sapiens (human). RNAcentral describes it as "novel transcript". The record is from RNAcentral. Lineage: Eukaryota; Metazoa; Chordata; Mammalia; Primates; Hominidae.